GGAACUACGCCCCUCUGCAUGCAAAUCCUCCUCCGGAUCUGCCCUGCCGGUCACUAACGACAUCCACGGCCCUGCCCCAUCACCGUGACGUAAGCGGCGCUCACCCAAUCGUCUCCGGCCUCCGGUCCCGCCUAGAUCACGUCCGGGGCGGGGUUAAGAGCUCUCCUUUCCAUCUGAUUCCUCUCAUAACAGCUCAAUGCUCUUCGUUCGUUCUCUCGCAGCCAAAGAGCCCGAUUAGGCGUUCACCUAAUUAUCGGCUUGUUAUACCAAGUCGGAAGUCAACACAACACACACUUAGAGUCCAAUAUGAUGCUCUAAACUUUCCAACUACUACUGCUUUCAACUAAAUAGAGCUUUUUUUUUCCUUCUCGGUUGAGGGAGGGGCGUGGGGAGCUUUUUGAUUUUGCGUUCUUUAUUUACUUACAGCUGUAUAGGAAACUCGAGCGCGGAUUUUUUCCCUCUGGUGUUUGAAUUUACAUUUGAAUAUGAAACAGCAUCAAUUUAAACUUUAAACGAAAUCGGAAUCAGGAAGCUCCGUUUCUUUCCUCACAGAAUGCCUAGAAGACGAGUACUGAGAACUGCUGAGCACUGCGCGUUCGACCUGAGUUCGAUCCCAGAAGAACGGGCUGGCUCUAUGGUUGGUUUUGGGAGUUUUUCUUGCGCGUAAUAUGAGUACUAGGUAGUUUGUCUUAAUAAGUCCUACGUGAAGGCAUACCUCCUCUUAGGCAAAGAGCCUUCGUAUUCUUCGCAGUAUCCAGAUAAUCUAAACAAGAUUAGUUAUACUCUAGCGGAUCGUGAGAAAUUGCAGUUAAAAACAUGUGGAUCACAAGGACAUGAAGGUUCGAAAACUGCUAUGCUGACGGCGUAUUCGAAGAAACUCACUUUCCAUCGUUUUUGUCGGUAAUGAAUAAUUUAUUGAAGUUUAAACUAUGGAUAUGGUAUUUUUUAAACUUAAGAUAACGCAACUGCUAAAGUUUCAUUCCAGGAAAUGAAACCUCAUUCUUCACUGCAACCGGAAGCUCUAAAUCUGAAGGGUUGAACUUGUGGCACCUUUCCAUUUCCGUCACCGCCAAGAGUAUACAGAUUUCUUCAUGAAAAGAACGUGGAAAACGACGAAUUUUUGUUUUAUCAAAAUAUUUCACUCAGUUUCAGAAUUUCAUCGAAGAACAGACCUUUUGCGAUAAUGUUGAUAGCUCUGGUACUCCGGACAAUAUAGCAACAGAGCAAAGAAACAAACGUUUUAACUCAGUGAAUGAUGUAAAUUUUUGCCUUUGUUAAUGUAUUCAAUUUACUUUUACGAAAACAUUAAUCUGAAACCUAAUAUAUAUGACAAUUAACACUUCUCUAAAUUUUAUAGAAUAAAGAACGAUAUAAAAGGCAA
Long non-coding RNA from Stegodyphus dumicola, 1381 nucleotides. RefSeq lists it as uncharacterized. The record is from RefSeq and is a predicted model, not a curated record. Lineage: Eukaryota; Metazoa; Arthropoda; Arachnida; Araneae; Eresidae.